GAAUCUGGCUUCAGGUUCGGGACAACAGUUGGAAACGGCUGCUAAUACCGGAUGUGCCUAAGGGUGAAAGAUUUAUCACCUGAAGAUGAGCUCGCGUCUGAUUAGCUAGUAGGUGUGGUAAGAGCGCACCUAGGCGACGAUCAGUAGCUGGUCUGAGAGGAUGAUCAGCCACACUGGGACUGAGACACGGCCCAGACUCCUACGGGAGGCAGCAGUGGGGAAUUUUCCGCAAUGGGCGAAAGCCUGACGGAGCAAUACCGCGUGAGGGAGGAAGGCUCUUGGGUUGUAAACCUCUUUUCUCAGGGAAGAAUGAUGACGGUACCUGAGGAAUAAGCAUCGGCUAACUCCGUGCCAGCAGCCGCGGUAAUACGGAGGAUGCAAGCGUUAUCCGGAAUGAUUGGGCGUAAAGCGUCCGCAGGUGGCAAUGUAAGUCUGCUGUCAAAGCGUCUGGCUCAACCAGAUAAAGGCAGUGGAAACUACAUAGCUAGAGUAAGGUAGGGGUAGAGGGAAUUCCUGGUGUAGCGGUGAAAUGCGUAGAGAUCAGGAAGAACACCGGUGGCGAAAGCGCUCUGCUGGACCUUAACUGACACUGAGGGACGAAAGCUAGGGGAGCG
Molecule: ribosomal RNA, 614 nt
Filed under: cyanobacterium 2-7
Lineage: Bacteria; Bacillati; Cyanobacteriota
Also listed under: 3 other names
Description: bacterial SSU rRNA
Rfam family: Bacterial small subunit ribosomal RNA
Source: RNAcentral